AGGACGAACGCUGGCGGCGUGCUUAACACAUGCAAGUCGAACGGAAAGGCCCGCUUGCGGGUACUCGAGUGGCGAACGGGUGAGUAACACGUGGGCAACCUGCCCUCAGCUUCGGGAUAACACUUGGAAACAGGUGCUAAUACCGGAUAAUAACUUGUCAUCGCAUGGUGGUGGGUUCAAAGUUUUUCGGCUGAGGAUGGGCCCGCGGCCUAUCAGCUUGUUGGUGGGGUAAUGGCCUACCAAGGCGACGACGGGUAGCCGGCCUGAGAGGGCGACCGGGCCACACUGGGACUGAGACACGGCCCAGACUCCUACGGGAGGCAGCAGUGGGGAAUUUUCCGCAAUGGGCGAAAGCCUGACGGAGCAAGACCGCGUGGGGGAAGAAGGCUCUUGGGUUGUAAACCCUUUCUCUGGGAAGAACGCAAUGACGGUACCAGAGGAAUCAGCAGUCGGCUAACUCCGUGCCAGCAGCCGC
RNAcentral lists this ribosomal RNA (475 nucleotides) under uncultured bacterium. Its description in RNAcentral is "SSU rRNA". It matches the Rfam family "Bacterial small subunit ribosomal RNA", at positions 26 to 518 of the family's 1533-position model. The record is from RNAcentral.